UAAAGGCCUGGUCCUGACUUUACUGUCAGCCUUAAUCCAAUUCAUACAUGCAAGUAUCCGCACCCCCGUGAGAAUGCCCCCAGCCUCCCCCCAGAGCCGGGGAGCUGACAUCAGGCACAACCCCCGCCCAAGACGUCUUGCUUUGCCACACCCCCAAGGGAACUCAGCAGUAGUAAACAUUAAGCCAUAAGUGAAAACUUGACUUAGUUAGGAUUAUAAAGGGUCGGUAAAACUCGUGCCAGCCACCGCGGUUAUACGAGAGACCCAAGUUGACAAACACGGCGUAAAAAGUGGUUAUGUGUUAUACUAAAUAAAGCCAAAAACUUCCCAAGCUGUCGCACGCACAACGGAAAUAAAAAGCCCCAACACGAAAGUAGCUUUAAAUAAACUGACGCCACGAAAGCUAAGAAACAAACUGGGAUUAGAUACCCCACUAUGCUUAGCCUUAAACUCUGAUAAAAAACUACAAUUUUAUCCGCCAGGGGACUACGAGCGCUAGCUUAAAACCCAAAGGACUUGACGGUGUCUCACCUCCACCUAGAGGAGCCUGUUCUAGAACCGAUAUUCCUCGUUUAACCUCACCAUCCCUUGCCCCCGCCGCCUAUAUACCGCCGUCGCAAGCUUACCCUAUGAAGGCCCCACAGUAAGCACAAUGGGCACAGCCCAAAACGUCAGGUCGAGGUGUAGCUUACGAGAUGGAAAGAAAUGGGCUACAUUUUCUACAACAGAAUAUUACGAACUGCACUAUGAAACAAAGUGCCCGAAGGUGGAUUUAGCAGUAAAAAUAAACUAGAGUGUUUUUUUGAAACAGGCUCUGAGACGCGUACACACCGCCCGUCACCCUCCCCACCCCCCCCCACCACAACAGUAACUAACAAAAUAUUCCCCUAAGCGGGGAGGCAAGUCGUAACAUGGUAAGUGUACCGGAAGGUGCACUUGGAUCAC
This 945-nucleotide non-coding RNA is filed under the name Phenacogrammus interruptus (Congo tetra). Its description in RNAcentral is "12S rRNA". It matches the Rfam family "Bacterial small subunit ribosomal RNA". The record is from RNAcentral. Lineage: Eukaryota; Metazoa; Chordata; Actinopteri; Characiformes; Alestidae.